Molecule: ribosomal RNA, 429 nt
Filed under: uncultured Thauera sp.
Lineage: Bacteria; Pseudomonadati; Pseudomonadota; Betaproteobacteria; Rhodocyclales; Zoogloeaceae
Description: bacterial SSU rRNA
Rfam family: Bacterial small subunit ribosomal RNA
Source: RNAcentral
UGGGGAAUUUUGGACAAUGGGCGCAAGCCUGAUCCAGCCAUGCCGCGUGAGUGAAGAAGGCCUUCGGGUUGUAAAGCUCUUUCGGCCGGGAAGAAAUCGUGGUCUCUAACAUAGGCCAUGGAUGACGGUACCGGACUAAGAAGCACCGGCUAACUACGUGCCAGCAGCCGCGGUAAUACGUAGGGUGCGAGCGUUAAUCGGAAUUACUGGGCGUAAAGCGUGCGCAGGCGGUUUGCUAAGACAGGUGUGAAAUCCCCGGGCUUAACCUGGGAACUGCGUUUGUGACUGCAAGGCUAGAGUACGGCAGAGGGGGGUGGAAUUCCUGGUGUAGCAGUGAAAUGCGUAGAGAUCAGGAGGAACACCGAUGGCGAAGGCAGCCCCCUGGGCCUGUACUGACGCUCAUGCACGAAAGCGUGGGGAGCAAACAGG